AGGAUGAACGCUGGCGGUAUGCUUAACACAUGCAAGUCGAACGAGUGGCGGACGGGUGAGUAACGCGUGAGAAUCUAGCUUCGGUUCGGGACAACCACUGGAAGCGGUGGCUAAUACCGGAUGGGAUGAGCUCGCGUCUGAUUAGCUAGUUGGUGGGGUAAGAGCUUACCAAGGCGACGAUCAGUAGCUGGUCUGAGAGGAUGAUCAGCCACACUGGGACUGAGACACGGCCCAGACUCCUACGGGAGGCAGCAGUGGGGAAUUUUCCGCAAUGGGCGAAAGCCUGACGGAGCAAUACCGCGUGAGGGAGGAAGGCUCUUGGGUUGUAAACCUCUUUUCUCAGGGAUGACGGUACCUGAGGAAUCAGCAUCGGCUAACUCCGUGCCAGCAGCCGCGGUAAUACGGAGGAUGCAAGCGUUAUCCGGAAUGAUUGGGCGUAAAGCGUCCGCAGGUGGCAGUGUAAGUCUGCUGUUAAAGAGUCUGGCUCAACCAGAUAAAGGCAGUGGAAACUACACAGCUAGAGUGCGGUAGGGGCAGAGGGAAUUCCUGGUGUAGCGGUGAAAUGCGUAGAGAUCAGGAAGAACAUCGGUGGCGAAGGCGCUCUGCUAGGCCGCAACUGACACUGAGGGACGAAAGCUAGGGGAGCGAAUGGGAUUAGAUACCCCAGUAGUCCUAGCCGUAAACGAUGGAUACUAGGCGUUGGUGCCGUAGCUAACGCGUUAAGUAUCCCGCC
Molecule: ribosomal RNA, 733 nt
Filed under: uncultured cyanobacterium
Lineage: Bacteria; Bacillati; Cyanobacteriota
Description: bacterial SSU rRNA
Rfam family: Bacterial small subunit ribosomal RNA
Source: RNAcentral